Molecule: ribosomal RNA, 279 nt
Filed under: uncultured bacterium
Lineage: Bacteria
Description: partial 16S ribosomal RNA
Rfam family: Bacterial small subunit ribosomal RNA
Source: RNAcentral
UGCCAGCCGCCGCGGUAAUACGGAGGGUGCGAGCGUUAAUCGGAAUUACUGGGCGUAAAGCGCGCGUAGGCGGCUUAGUCAGUCGGAUGUGAAAGCCCCGGGCUUAACCUGGGAAUUGCAUUCGAUACUGCCGAGCUAGAGUAUGGGAGAGGGAAGUGGAAUUUCCGGUGUAGCGGUGAAAUGCGUAGAUAUCGGAAGGAACACCAGUGGCGAAGGCGGCUCACUGGGAUCUUUCUGACGCUGAGGCACGAAAGCUAGGGGAGCAAACAGGAUUAGAUA